This 479-nucleotide ribosomal RNA is filed under the name Pseudanthias squamipinnis (sea goldie). RNAcentral describes it as "partial small subunit ribosomal RNA". It matches the Rfam family "Bacterial small subunit ribosomal RNA", at positions 788 to 1491 of the family's 1533-position model. The record is from RNAcentral. Lineage: Eukaryota; Metazoa; Chordata; Actinopteri; Perciformes; Anthiadidae.
CACUAUGCCUGGCCCUAAAAAUUGAUAGUCCCUUACACCCACUAUCCGCCUGGGAACUACGAGCAAAACUUGAAACCCAAAGGACUUGGCGGUGCUUUAGACCCAACUAGAGGAGCCUGUCCUAGAACCGAUAUUCCUCGUUAAACCUUACCUUUUCUUGCAACUUCCGCCUAUAUACCGCCGUCGUAAGCUUACCCUGUGAAGGUGCCCAUAGUGAGCAAAGUUAGUAUCGCCCCACACGUCAGGUCGAGGUGUAGCAUAUGUAAAGGAAUGAGAUUGGCUACAUUUACUAUCAGUAGUAAAUUACGGAUGAUGCCCUGAAACACCGCAUCUGAAGGUGGAUUUAGUAGUAAGUAAAAAACAGUGUGUUUUACUGAAACUUGGCUAUGAAGCGUGCACACACCGCCCGUCACUCUCCCCAUAAAAACUUUUUGACUUAAACUAUACAACCUAAAACGCUAAGGGGAGACAAGUCGUAA